CCUUACAUAAUGAAUUUAAAACACUUCUUGGACCAAAAUCAUUUAAUGGAACAACAUUCAUUUUCAUCUCAAUUUUUAUUAUAAUAUUAUUUAACAAUUUCAUAGGAUUAUUCCCUUAUAUUUUUACUAGAACAAGACAUUUAGCAUUAACAUUUGCAAUUGCCCUACCUAUAUGGUUAAGAUUUAUAUUAUUUGGAUGAAUUAACCAUACUAAUCAUAUAUUUACACACCUUGUACCACAAGGUACACCGCCUGCAUUAAUAUCAUUUAUAGUACUAAUUGAAACAAUUAGUAAUGUUAUUCGACCAGGUACAUUAGCAGUACGGUUGGCAGCAAAUAUAAUUGCAGGACACUUAUUAUUAACCUUAUUAGGAAACACAGGACCAUCUAUAGCAAUAAACUUAAUCUCAUUACUAAUUAUUGGACAAAUACUUCUAUUAAUUCUAGAAUCAGCAGUAGCAAUAAUUCAAGCCUAUGUUUUCUCAAUUCUAAGAACUCUAUAUUCUAGAGAAGUAUAUUAAACCUAUGUUAACAACUCACUCAAACCACCCAUUCCACUUAGUAGACUAUAGACCUUGACCAUUAACAGGAGCAAUCGGAGCAAUAGUCCUAGUAUCAGGACUAGCAAAAUGAUUCCACCUAUUUAAUAAUAACUUAUUCAUAAUUGGAUUUGGAAUUACCCUACUAACUAUAAUUCAAUGAUGAAGAGAUGUAGUACGAGAAGGAACUUAUCAAGGAUUACAUACAGGAUUUGUAUCAAUUGGAUUACGAUGAGGAAUAAUUUUAUUUAUUGCAUCAGAGGUAUUAUUUUUCGUUUCUUUUUUUUGUGCAUUCUUUAGAAGAAGAUUAGCACCAACAAUUGAACUAGGAAUACUAUGACCUCCAAUAGGAAUUCAACCCUUUAACCCUAUACAAAUUCCAUUACUUAAUACAGCUAUUCUUUUAGCAUCAGGAGUAACAGUAACAUGAGCACAUCAUAGUUUAAUGGAAUCUAAUCAUACUCAAGCAGUACAAGGAUUAUUCUUCACAGUGUUAUUAGGACUAUACUUUACAAUACUUCAAGCAUAUGAAUAUUGAGAAGCACCUUUUACCAUUGCAGAUGCAGUUUAUGGAUCAACAUUCUUUGUUGCAACAGGAUUCCAUGGUUUACACGUAAUUAUUGGAACAAUCUUUUUAUCAACAUGAUUCCAUGGUUUACACGUAAUUAUUGGAACAAUCUUUUUAUCAACAUGUCUACUUCGACACUCAAUAAAUCAAUUUUCACCAAGACAUCACUUUGGAUUUGAAGCAGCAGCAUGAUACUGACACUUCGUAGACGUAGUAUGAUUAUUCUUAUAUAUCUCUAUUUAUUGAUGAGGUAGAUAAUU
Long non-coding RNA from Schistocerca gregaria, 1367 nucleotides. RefSeq lists it as uncharacterized. The transcript is spliced from 2 exons. Lineage: Eukaryota; Metazoa; Arthropoda; Insecta; Orthoptera; Acrididae. The record is from RefSeq and is a predicted model, not a curated record.